This 1296-nucleotide ribosomal RNA is filed under the name human gut metagenome. Its description in RNAcentral is "bacterial SSU rRNA". It matches the Rfam family "Bacterial small subunit ribosomal RNA", at positions 8 to 1326 of the family's 1533-position model. The record is from RNAcentral.
AGAGUUUGAUUCUGGCUCAGAACGAACGCUGGCGGCGUGGAUAAGACAUGCAAGUCGAACGAGAGAAUUGCUAGCUUGCUAAUAAUUCUCUAGUGGCGCACGGGUGAGUAACACGUGAGUAACCUGCCCCCGAGAGCGGGAUAGCCCUGGGAAACUGGGAUUAAUACCGCAUAGUAUCGAAAGAUUAAAGCAGCAAUGCGCUUGGGGAUGGGCUCGCGGCCUAUUAGUUAGUUGGUGAGGUAACGGCUCACCAAGGCGAUGACGGGUAGCCGGUCUGAGAGGAUGUCCGGCCACACUGGAACUGAGACACGGUCCAGACACCUACGGGUGGCAGCAGUCGAGAAUCAUUCACAAUGGGGGAAACCCUGAUGGUGCGACGCCGCGUGGGGGAAUGAAGGUCUUCGGAUUGUAAACCCCUGUCAUGUGGGAGCAAAUUAAAAAGAUAGUACCACAAGAGGAAGAGACGGCUAACUCUGUGCCAGCAGCCGCGGUAAUACAGAGGUCUCAAGCGUUGUUCGGAAUCACUGGGCGUAAAGCGUGCGUAGGCUGUUUCGUAAGUCGUGUGUGAAAGGCGCGGGCUCAACCCGCGGACGGCACAUGAUACUGCGAGACUAGAGUAAUGGAGGGGGAACCGGAAUUCUCGGUGUAGCAGUGAAAUGCGUAGAUAUCGAGAGGAACACUCGUGGCGAAGGCGGGUUCCUGGACAUUAACUGACGCUGAGGCACGAAGGCCAGGGGAGCGAAAGGGAUUAGAUACCCCUGUAGUCCUGGCAGUAAACGGUGCACGCUUGGUGUGCGGGGAAUCGACCCCCUGCGUGCCGGAGCUAACGCGUUAAGCGUGCCGCCUGGGGAGUACGGUCGCAAGAUUAAAACUCAAAGAAAUUGACGGGGACCCGCACAAGCGGUGGAGUAUGUGGCUUAAUUCGAUGCAACGCGAAGAACCUUACCUGGGCUUGACAUGUAAUGAACAACAUGUGAAAGCAUGCGACUCUUCGGAGGCGUUACACAGGUGCUGCAUGGCCGUCGUCAGCUCGUGUCGUGAGAUGUUUGGUUAAGUCCAGCAACGAGCGCAACCCCUGUUGCCAGUUACCAGCACGUGAAGGUGGGGACUCUGGCGAGACUGCCCAGAUCAACUGGGAGGAAGGUGGGGACGACGUCAGGUCAGUAUGGCCCUUAUGCCCAGGGCUGCACACGUACUACAAUGCCCAGUACAGAGGGGGCCGAAGCCGCGAGGCGGAGGAAAUCCUAAAAACUGGGCCCAGUUCGGACUGUAGGCUGCAACCCGCCUACACGAAGC